Molecule: long non-coding RNA, 653 nt
Organism: Myotis lucifugus (little brown bat)
Lineage: Eukaryota; Metazoa; Chordata; Mammalia; Chiroptera; Vespertilionidae
Exons: 2
Source: RefSeq, a predicted model, not a curated record
AAAGAGGGUGUUGGAGUGGGGGAGGGGCGGUGGCAUUCACUGCGGAGAACGGAGCCAUUGGAAGGGGUGUGUGGGCGGGGACGAGAGUCCCAGGACUCAAAAUGCCUAGGAGUGAGGACCCACAGAACUGUCCCUGCUGAGAAGGGCUGGAGAGACCUAUGGGAUCAACUUCCUCCUGUUCCGGGUGAGGAGACAGCCUGAGGUCAUUCAUUCAGCUGGCUGAUAUUAAUAGAACACCACUUCUGACUUACUGAGCGUCUACUAUGAGAAUCCCCUAAUCUCCAUCAUCACAGCGAUCCCAUUUUACCGAAAAGGAAACUGGAGAUACACACGGGAGCAGAAAGCAAUGAGGCCUAUUUUGGCCUGUAAUCCAGACGAUCUGGUCAGAUUCCAGCUUUGCUUCACCAGGAGAUCCACGUAUGACCUUGAGAAAGUCACCAACCAUGAUGCUUCUGUCUCAUCUUCUCUAAACGGAGACUGUAUAAUUACUCAACCUCCUCAGCCCAUUUGAUUCUAAAAUCCUAUUAUUCAAUGUUGGUGACUCUAAGAAAUGUACAGACUAGAAGAUCCAAAGCAAGUUCUAUUUAAAGUUUCUUCAAAGAAAAAAAAAUGACCUCUAUUAAAACUAAAAUAAUAAAUUUAUUAUUAAUCUA